Molecule: ribosomal RNA, 222 nt
Filed under: uncultured bacterium
Lineage: Bacteria
Description: partial 16S ribosomal RNA
Rfam family: Bacterial small subunit ribosomal RNA
Source: RNAcentral
AGUAAUGUCUGGGAAACUGCCUGAUGGAGGGGGAUAACUGCUGGAAACGGUAGCUAAUACCGCAUAACGUCGCAAGACCAAAGAGGGAGACCUUCGGGCCUCUUGCCAUCGGAUGUGCCCAGAUGGGAUUAGCUAGUAGGUGGGGUAACGGCUCACCUAGGCGACGAUCCCUAGCUGGUCUGAGAGGAUGGCCAGCCACACUGGAACUGAGACACGGUCCAG